This 952-nucleotide long non-coding RNA is filed under the name Solanum tuberosum (potato). Its description in RNAcentral is "long non-coding RNA (STUB_LNC009582)". The record is from RNAcentral. Lineage: Eukaryota; Viridiplantae; Streptophyta; Magnoliopsida; Solanales; Solanaceae.
CAUAUAAAUAUUUAAUUAUAUAUAAGAUUAUAAAUUUCAAAAAUAUUAUUACUUUCUUUUUAAACAUUUAUAUUCAGUGAAACUACAACAAACAAAAUCAUAGUAAACCAUAAAAUAGAUAGUUCAAAAUCAAAUUUGUUCCAUAGAAACACUAGAGAAAUACCAAAUUAAAGAUUCUUUACAUUUCUAUCUUUUCAAGAACCAAGCUUGCAAAUUAAACCAAAAUAUACCUAGUGACAUAAAAUCAACCCUCUCUCCCAUAAUCAAAACCUCUCAUAUUAAGGAAAAAUAAAAAGAUUUCAACUCCUCAUGUUCUUCAUCUUGUACCAACCCUUCUUGCAAGAAUCUCCCACAAUUUUUACUCCCUUCUUGAAAAUGAUCUUCAACUCUUGUGUUCUCUCCUUCACUUGCUUCUCAAAACUUCCCAUAUUUAACUUUCCCUAUAAAAAUAUAUCAAAAAUAUCACAAAAUCAAAACCCUAGAAAAGACAGAAGGGCGAAAACCGUCUUAUCUUAGAGUAAGGAUAGUUCACUUUAAAUUUUUUUUAUAAUCAAUAAGUAAGACAUUUUAACAUUUCAAAUGAGAAAAUAAUUAAAUAUGAAAGAGUUCUUUUUUUUCCAUCAAGAUAACUUCUUUUUUUAAAAAAAGUAAAUCACAAUUAGAUAAAAUUCAAAUAAAAUAGAAAAUUCAAGACAAACUCUAACAGUUAUAAACUUGCAAUAACGAUAUAUUCUUACCAAUAUCUUAGCGACUUCUAUGCAAUGCAAUAAUUUUGUUGGCUUAGAGUAGCAAGCAAGAACUUAUAUGCACAAAUAUUUCUUAGAUGUGAAGAGAAUGUUCAAUCAAAAAGUAAAAGUUUUUAAAGGAGUUGGGCUACGUGGGAUCCAACUCAUAACGUACAUUAUGAGUAUUUUAGAAGAUAUAGACGUGAAGGGAGUGUAUAUCAUUUCUU